Molecule: long non-coding RNA, 642 nt
Organism: Solanum dulcamara
Lineage: Eukaryota; Viridiplantae; Streptophyta; Magnoliopsida; Solanales; Solanaceae
Exons: 2
Source: RefSeq, a predicted model, not a curated record
ACAAAUUCCGGUCGCUAAAAUUAUUAUCUUUACUAAUAAUUAGUAAAGGGAUUGGUAAAACUACAAAUUCGGUCGUUAAUGCAUAUAAUUGAGCGAGAAAAGAUGCUACAUUAAUUAUGCCACUAAUUAUUUCUAAUCACCAAUUUCUUCCUAUUAGAUUAAAAAAGAGAGAGAGAAAAAGUUUUCCUCCUCCACUCCCACUGGGGUUAGUUUGAUUUGGCUCUCCAUCAUAGCAGCCAUGGAAAAACUUCCGAGUGGGGAAUUUGGUCAAGAAAUUACAGAUCCUCUAAAAAUUACUGUCGUAGAGAUAAUGGAUGGACUAGGGCUGCUAGAUAAGGCUGAAUACAUGACUAUCUAAGGUCUAAGGACAUUGAUCCCGUGAUUAAAGAUCAUAAUACAGAUUCUCAUUGCUGAUUUGAAUCUUUUGCGGAGCAGCUCUUAAGAUUUGGAGACUCGAUCAGCUCUUGAUAUUCAGAGUUGCCUAUCUCCCUUAUCAUUGGAUAUGACUAGGUUAUAUUUUGUUUUGAGAGAUAGUUUGUACUUAUAUCUUAUUUUGUAUAAGCUUUUACUUUGGUUUGAGUAGGAGCUGAACUAUGUACUGAUACCAGGUCUUAGAGGUUUAUUUCUGUAUUUAUUUGAUUC